GGAUGUGAGGGUGAUUUGGCUGCAACAUGUUACCCCAUUGAUCACCAGGGUUAAUUAUUUGGCUGAUCUGGAUGGCUAGGCGGGUGUCCCCUCCCUCCCUCACCACUCUAUGUGUGUCCCUCCCGAUGCUGUGCACUUGGUGGAAGAGGACGGCCUUCCCCGAAUAGAGACGGACCGGUCUUCGGUGGAGGGUAUAUGAGUCGGUGCACUACCCUGCUAGAACCUCCAAACAAGCUCUCAAGGUCCAAUAUUUGGAUAGGACAGGAAGAAAUUGAGAGAGGUGAAGACAGAGAGGGGGAGAGAAAGACAGACACUUGCAGAUCUGCUUCAGCACUUGCAAAGCGACUCUUCCCC
Molecule: small nuclear RNA, 354 nt
Filed under: Erinaceus europaeus (western European hedgehog)
Lineage: Eukaryota; Metazoa; Chordata; Mammalia; Eulipotyphla; Erinaceidae
Description: 7SK RNA (ENSEEUG00000021414.1)
Rfam family: 7SK RNA (bases 1-280)
About the family: 7SK was discovered as an abundant small nuclear RNA in the mid-70s but a possible function has only recently been suggested.
Source: RNAcentral